Molecule: long non-coding RNA, 1698 nt
Organism: Pseudopipra pipra
Lineage: Eukaryota; Metazoa; Chordata; Aves; Passeriformes; Pipridae
Exons: 2
Source: RefSeq, a predicted model, not a curated record
AUUUACAUGCUACUUACCCAACAUUUCUUUCUUUAACUUUUCAUUCCUUUCUUCAAUUUGUCUCGGUAAUCGCUGUGGAGAGAGAGAAAAAGUGGAAUCAGACCCAUGCUUUCAAUAAUGCUGUAGGCCACAUAAUUCUUCCUGGAAAGAGCUCUGAGACCAUCUCCAGGUGAUCAACACCUAAAGACUGUUCCAAAAUACAACUUGCAGUGCUUUGCUUGCAACCUUGGCUUUUAUUUAGUAAACACUACAGAAAAAAACCAGCAACUGUAACACAAUCGAACAUAUUAUAUUGGACAGAUGAAACUAGGAAAACACCAAAUGCUGAAAUGAAUGACUACACCUAUAUUGGAGAAGAAAUCCCAGGGCACUUGUUCAACCCCUGGAAAAGCCAAUUCUACAGAUAAGCUUUUAUUUAUGGAGAACAAUGGGAUCAACCUGAAGGCACAGGGAAGAAAGGAAGGGUGAGGAGGAGGGCAGCUUAAAGGAAAUUUCUUAAGACAAUAUUCUCUUACGUAUCCUUGAGCUUCUGCACAAAACAGGGGAAAAAAAGAAAGAAAUUCUACUGCUUAGCUCAGAAAAAAUCUCAGGGUUAACUCAAAAAUGCUACUUCUCAAAAUCAGUUUCACUUAAUUGGAACAGAGUGGCUGACAAGACACUAAUGAAGAAUCUCCUCUACCAGAGCUGUGUUCCUUGUCCUGCUGACACAUUUCCCACUGUUAGAACAGACAUGGACUGUGAUUCCAGCCAGCUGUAUGGCAAUGGACAUGGAACAGCCCAGAGAAGGGAACUGCUUUGGAGGAAUAUUAGAUAUUUAUUGCAGUGUACUACAUCCAAAAAAAAGAGCUUCCUAGGCCAGGUGCAUAAGUCCUUGCCAGACAAGGCCCAAAGAACAAGACAACAUCUGUCACGAUGGAAGAGCACGAGGGAUUUAGAAUGAAGGAUUCAGAAUGAAGGAUUCAGAGUGUUGCACUGGAUAAACUCCUAAUUAAUGGGUGUCCCUCCAGAAGAGGAUGGGAAAGGCUGGAACAAUUACCAUGGAACAGCUGUUAGGUGUCCUUGGAUUAAUCCUGCAGACCAGACCAACGUCAAAGCCAUCACUGUCAGUGACAACUAACCAGAAAAAUCUGUUUAUAAUGCAUCAAAAGCAAUUUACUGCUCAGUGCCUCUGCUGAGGCAGCAAUCAGAAUGCUUUGGAAACAGCAACAAAACCUUAUAAAAGUCAAUUUUGGUUUUAACUCUUAAAAAGCUCAGAGUUGCAAGCCCAGCCAAAUAACCAGGCUCAAUGCUGCAUCUGUUUUUCAGAAUAUUUCUUGCAGGUUUGUGUCUUAAUAUCAUUUCAAGCUCUUAUUUUGCUUCAUUGUGCAGAGAAGAUUUCUUAUGGUAUUGGUACUGUUUUCCCUGGGAGGAAUUCCCGGCGCUUAAAAUUAGAAAUCUCACUGUAAGGGGCUCCUGAAAUAUAACUGAAGAAAAUACACAAACAAUUGUUCCUUCACUCUGCAGCAGCUUCUGCACAAGUGAGUAUUUCUACUCAGAGCUGCUGCUGUGGAAGUUUGCACACCAGGAUACACAUAAAUACACAGAACAAGGACUGGAAUCUGCCUUUGCACUUCCAGCAUAAAUGAGACACUUUUUCUACAGCCUAUUACUGGGGAACAACACUCGAUAGAACUCGUUUAUUAAAGCUGCUGAAACACA